UGGGGAAGUAUUGCACAAUGGGCGCAAGCCUGAUGCAGCCAUGCCGCGUGUAUGAAGAAGGCCUCGGGUUGUAAGUACUUUCAGCGGGGAGGAAGGCGUUGUGGUUAAUAACCACAGCGAUUGACGUUACCCGCAGAAGAAGCACCGGCUAACUCCGUGCCAGCAGCCGCGGUAAUACGGAGGGUGCAAGCGUUAAUCGGAAUUACUGGGCGUAAAGCGCACGCAGGCGGUCUGUCAAGUCGGAUGUGAAAUCCCCCGGGCUCAACCUGGGAACUGCAUUCGAAACUGGCAGGCUAGAGUCUUGUAGAGGGGU
RNAcentral lists this ribosomal RNA (313 nucleotides) under uncultured Enterobacteriaceae bacterium. RNAcentral describes it as "bacterial SSU rRNA". It matches the Rfam family "Bacterial small subunit ribosomal RNA", at positions 355 to 660 of the family's 1533-position model. Lineage: Bacteria; Pseudomonadati; Pseudomonadota; Gammaproteobacteria; Enterobacterales; Enterobacteriaceae. The record is from RNAcentral.